GGCCAAUGUGCAUACGUAAUGUGUUGGCAGCAGCAGCAGUCCGGCACGUUCGAUAGAAGAUCUUGAUCAUGGUAGUACCCUUGCUGUCUAUGGGAGGGUCAAAGAGCUCUCAGAAUGCAUCAAAAGUAUCUUAAUUUGUGUUCCGAAGAUGAACGAAGGUCUUACGGGUUUGGAACGACUUGAGGUCUUUGACAUUCAGAAAGUACAAAUCAAAGAAGCAAGAUGAAUGCUCUGAGUGACAGCUACAUGGAGUUUCAGCAUCAGUGGAGCUGCUUCCUACAGAGCUCAUGGGUUUUGUCUCAGCUGGAUUAGUUACACAAAGGCCUUCUUGGAUUUUACAGGGUUUUGCUGAAAAGUCAACCAUAAUGUGUCACUUAUCACAUUAACAAUAAGGACAUUGAUUCAGGUACCGCACCAGUUACCACCUUUGCUAAUCCAGUGGCCCUUUGCAAUCAGGACAUCUGGCCGUCCAUAGGGGUGGCUGAGGGCAUUCCUGACUGGAGCGGUGUACAGCUGACCUUUAUCUGCCUCAUUAGGGCUGGUGUUAUGUGUGUGGACAGAUGGCCUUGCUGGAGGGCUGCAGAUCCACACACCAGUGCCUUGUCAACCUCUUUACACGUGUAUCAGCUCGUAUUGCUUUGGAGAUAAGGUGCACGGUGUGCCUGUUAGGAUCGGUACGCCUCAUCAGUGUUCCUGUGACAACCGUACUGUUUUCCCUUACUCUCUGAUGAGGGUCAUCAGGGGGCUGGUGUACAUGUGAUAGCUUGUCUAUCUCUUACAUUUUUUUCCUCUUCUCUUCUCACCUCCAUGAAGUGUGAAUUGGACAGAUAACCACAACACCUUUCCUUUCAGGAGGCCUUAAACACUUCCCAAAAUAGUUUCCUACAGAGAUGCUGGCCCACCUGAAAGUGGUCUAUCUGUUUUUGUUGUUGUUGUUGUUUUUGUUGUUUUGUUUUUUUGUGACAACUUUGUCUAUUUUUUUUAUGUAUCUGUUAAUAGGGUUUUCAAACGAGGUCUGAA
Cyprinus carpio carpio is the source of this 1020-nucleotide long non-coding RNA. NCBI's taxonomy places the organism in Eukaryota, Metazoa, Chordata, Actinopteri, Cypriniformes, Cyprinidae. The record is from Ensembl.